RNAcentral lists this long non-coding RNA (319 nucleotides) under Elaeis guineensis (African oil palm). RNAcentral describes it as "long non-coding RNA (EGUI_LNC010323)". Lineage: Eukaryota; Viridiplantae; Streptophyta; Magnoliopsida; Arecales; Arecaceae. The record is from RNAcentral.
CAAUAUCAAGAAUCCAAAAUAACACAGAAACCGCAAAAGAUGUGCAAAAGCAAAAUUCCCAAACAACACGAAAACUAAAGAAAAUAUGAAAAGGCAAAAAUUAAGGUUGGAGGACUAGGUUAGGUCAAUUGCCUGGGAGCUACUAACAAAAAAUAUCAAGACUCAUUGGGCCAAAUGCUUGCUUUCCCUGUUGCAGACCUCUCAUCGAUCAAAGUCUGGUGUUGUUAUUGGGCCUCCAGUAUGGUUAAAGACCCGGGCUACCAUCUACAGUCUCAACAUAUAAGUUGUGGGCCUAGAUCGGGAUUUUGCUCAUCUCUUG